CAGCAGCCACGGGAAUACGGAGGGUGCAAGCGUUAAUCGGAAUUACUGGGCGUAAAGCGCACGCAGGCGGUCUGACAAGUCAGAUGUGAAAUCCCCGGGCUUAACCUGGGAACUGCAUUUGAAACUGUCAGGCUGGAGUCUUGUAGAGGGGGGUGGAAUUCCAGGUGUAGCGGUGAAAUGCGUAGAGAUCUGAAGGAAUACCGGUGGCGAAGGCGGCCCCCUGGACAAAGACUGACGCUCAGGUGCGAAAGCGUGGGGAGCAAACAGGAUUAGAUACCCCGGUAGUCCCUGUCUCUUAUAC
This 301-nucleotide ribosomal RNA is filed under the name uncultured bacterium. RNAcentral's name for it is "partial 16S ribosomal RNA". It matches the Rfam family "Bacterial small subunit ribosomal RNA", at positions 509 to 807 of the family's 1533-position model. The record is from RNAcentral.